RNAcentral lists this ribosomal RNA (433 nucleotides) under uncultured bacterium. RNAcentral's name for it is "partial 16S ribosomal RNA". It matches the Rfam family "Bacterial small subunit ribosomal RNA", at positions 29 to 507 of the family's 1533-position model. The record is from RNAcentral.
AACGAGCGCUGGCGGCAUGCCUAACACAUGCAAGUCGAACGAGACCUUCGGGUCUAGUGGCGCACGGGUGCGUAACGCGUGGGAACCUGCCCUUAGGUUCGGAAUAACUCCCCGAAAGGGGUGCUAAUACCGGAUCAUGUCUUCGGACCAAAGAUUUAUCGCCUUUGGAUGGGCCCGCGUUGGAUUAGCUAGUUGGUAGGGUAAAAGCCUACCAAGGCGACGAUCCAUAGCUGGUCUGAGAGGAUGAUCAGCCACACUGGGACUGAGACACGGCCCAGACUCCUACGGGAGGCAGCAGUGGGGAAUAUUGGACAAUGGGCGAAAGCCUGAUCCAGCAAUGCCGCGUGAGUGAUGAAGGCCUUAGGGUUGUAAAGCUCUUUUACCCGGGAUGAUAAUGACAGUACCGGGAGAAUAAGCUCCGGCUAACUCCGUG